Molecule: ribosomal RNA, 330 nt
Filed under: uncultured eukaryote
Lineage: Eukaryota
Description: partial 18S ribosomal RNA
Rfam family: Eukaryotic small subunit ribosomal RNA
Source: RNAcentral
CCCUUAGAUGUUCUGGGCCGCACGCGCGCUACACUGUUCGACGCAGCGAGUCUUAACCUUGACCGAAAGGUUUGGGUAAUCUUCAGCAAAGUCGAACGUGAUGGGGAUCGAUCAUUGCAAUUAUUGAUCGUGAACGAGGAAUUCCUAGUAAGUGCAAGUCAUCAGCUUGCGCUGAUUACGUCCCUGCCCUUUGUACACACCGCCCGUCGCACCUACCGAUUGAAUGAUCCGAUGAAUACCAUGGAUUGAGAGUACGAAUAGGUUCGCUUAUUUCUGCUUCUCGAGAAGUGGAGUAAAUCUUAUCAUUUAGAGGAAGGAGAAGUCGUAACA